Molecule: ribosomal RNA, 492 nt
Filed under: uncultured bacterium
Lineage: Bacteria
Description: partial 16S ribosomal RNA
Rfam family: Bacterial small subunit ribosomal RNA
Source: RNAcentral
AGUGAACGCUGGCGGUAGGCCUAACACAUGCGAGUCGAACGGCAGCACAGUAAGAGCUUGCUCUUACGGGUGGCGAGUGGCGGACGGGUGAGGAAUACAUCGGAAUCUACUUUUUCGUGGGGGAUAACGUAGGGAAACUUACGCUAAUACCGCAUACGACCUACGGGCGAAAGCAGGGGAUCUUCGGACCUUGCGCGAUUGAAUGAGCCUAUGUCGGAUUAGCUAGUUGGCGGGGUAAAGGCCCACCAAGGCGACGAUCCGUAGCUGGUCUGAGAGGAUGAUCAGCCACACUGGAACUGAGACACGGUCCAGACUCCUACGGGAGGCAGCAGUGGGGAAUAUUGGACAAUGGGCGCAAGCCUGAUCCAGCCAUACCGCGUGGGUGAAGAAGGCCUUCGGGUUGUAAAGCCCUUUUGUUGGGAAAGAAAAGCAGCAGGUUAAUACCCCGCUGUUCUGACGGUACCCAAAGAAUAAGCACCGGCUAACUUCGUG